UACGGGGGGGGCAAGCGUUGUUCGGAAUUACUGGGCGUAAAGGGCUCGUAGGUGGCCAACUAAGUCAGACGUGAAAUCCCCAGGCUCAACUUGGGAACUGCGUCUGAUACUGGAUGGCUUGAAUUCGGGAGAGGGAUGCAGAAUUCCAGGUGUAGCGGUGAAAUGCGCAGAUAUCAGGAGGAACACCAAUGGCGAAGGCAGCUCGCUGGAACGGUACUGACGCUGAGGCGCGAAAGCGUGGGGAGCAAACAGG
This 253-nucleotide ribosomal RNA is filed under the name uncultured bacterium. RNAcentral's name for it is "partial 16S ribosomal RNA". It matches the Rfam family "Bacterial small subunit ribosomal RNA", at positions 524 to 776 of the family's 1533-position model. The record is from RNAcentral.